CACAAGGGAUUUAAAAUCCCUCGACUUUCGAGUCGUGCCGGUUCAAGUCCGGCCCGGGGCACCA
This 64-nucleotide transfer RNA is filed under the name Vibrio cholerae HC-59A1. RNAcentral describes it as "partial tRNA-OTHER". RNAcentral also lists the same sequence under 1 other name. The record is from RNAcentral. Lineage: Bacteria; Pseudomonadati; Pseudomonadota; Gammaproteobacteria; Vibrionales; Vibrionaceae.